CAGCAGCCGCGGGAAUACGAAGGGGGCAAGCGUUGUUCGGAAUUACUGGGCGUAAAGGGCGCGUAGGCGGCUUAUCAAGUCAGGCGUGAAAUUCCCGGGCUCAACCUGGGGGCUGCGUUUGAUACUGAUGAGCUUGAAUGCGGGAGAGGAUAGUGGAAUUCCCAGUGUAGAGGUGAAAUUCGUAGAUAUUGGGAAGAACACCGGUGGCGAAGGCGGCUAUCUGGCCCGUGAUUGACGCUGAGGCGCGAAAGCGUGGGGAGCAAACAGGAUUAGAUACCCCUGUAGUCCCUGUCUCUUAUAC
RNAcentral lists this ribosomal RNA (301 nucleotides) under uncultured bacterium. Its description in RNAcentral is "partial 16S ribosomal RNA". It matches the Rfam family "Bacterial small subunit ribosomal RNA", at positions 509 to 807 of the family's 1533-position model. The record is from RNAcentral.